GACGAACGCUGGCGGCGUGCUUAACACAUGCAAGUCGAACGGAAGGGCCCUGCUUUUGUGGGGCGCUCGAGUGGCGAACGGGCGAGUAACACGUGGGUAACCUGCCCUUGUCUUUGGGAUAACUUCAGGAAACUGGGGCUAAUACCGGAUAGGAGCUCCUGCUGCAUGGUGGGGGUUGGAAAGUUUCGGCGGUUGGGGAUGGACUCGCGGCUUAUCAGCUUGUUGGUGGGGUAGUGGCUUACCAAGGCUUUGACGGGUAGCCGGCCUGAGAGGGUGACCGGCCACAUUGGGACUGAGAUACGGCCCAGACUCCUACGGGAGGCAGCAGUGGGGAAUAUUGCACAAUGGGCGGAAGCCUGAUGCAGCAACGCCGCGUGCGGGAUGACGGCCUUCGGGUUGUAAACCGCUUUCGCCUGUGACGAAGCGUGAGUGACGGUAAUGGGUAAAGAAGCACCGGCUAACUACGUG
This 468-nucleotide ribosomal RNA is filed under the name uncultured bacterium. RNAcentral's name for it is "partial 16S ribosomal RNA". It matches the Rfam family "Bacterial small subunit ribosomal RNA", at positions 28 to 507 of the family's 1533-position model. The record is from RNAcentral.